UUCGGCAACACAGCAGUAUCAAUACUGUCCCGUGGCGAGUGGCAGGACGGGUGAGGAAUACAUCGGAAUCUACCUUUUCGUGGGGGAUAACGUAGGGAAACUUACGCUAAUACCGCAUAAUACCUUCGGGUGAAAGCCGGGGACCUUCGGGCCUGGCGCGGAUAGAUAGAGCCGAUGUCGGAUUAGCUUGUUGGCGGGGUAAAAGCCCACCAAGGCGACGAUCCGUAGCUGGUCUGAGAGGAUGAUCAGCCACACUGGAACUGAGACACGGUCCAGACUCCUACGGGAGGCAGCAGUGGGGAAUAUUGGACAAUGGGCGCAAGCCUGAUCCAGCCAUACCGCGUGGGUGAAGAAGGCCUUCGGGUUGUAAAGCCCUUUUGUUGGGAAAGAAAUCCUACCGGUUAAUAACCAAUGGGGAUGACGGUACCCAAAGAAUAAGCACCGACUAACUUCGUGCCAGCAGCCGCGGUAAUACGAAGGGUGCAAGCGUUACUCGGAAUUACUGGGCGUAAAGCGUGCGUAGGUGGUUGUUUCAAGUCUGCUGUGAAAGCCCUGGGCUCAACCUGGGAAUUGCAUUGGAUACUGGGGCGACUAAAGUGUGGUAAAGGAUAGUGGAAUUUCCGGUGUACAAUGAAUGCGUAGA
This 643-nucleotide ribosomal RNA is filed under the name Pseudoxanthomonas yeongjuensis. RNAcentral's name for it is "bacterial SSU rRNA". It matches the Rfam family "Bacterial small subunit ribosomal RNA", at positions 61 to 694 of the family's 1533-position model. Lineage: Bacteria; Pseudomonadati; Pseudomonadota; Gammaproteobacteria; Lysobacterales; Lysobacteraceae. The record is from RNAcentral.